CUACCAAGGCGACGAUCUAUAGCUGGUCUGAGAGGAUGAUCAGCCACACUGGAACUGAGACACGGUCCAGACUCCUACGGGAGGCAGCAGUGGGGAAUAUUGCACAAUGGGCGCAAGCCUGAUGCAGCCAUGCCGCGUGUGUGAAGAAGGCCUUCGGGUUGUAAAGCACUUUCAGUCAGGAGGAAAGGUUAACGGUUAAUACCCGUUAGCUGUGACGUUACUGACAGAAGAAGCACCGGCUAACUCCGUGCCAGCAGCCGCGGUAAUACGGAGGGUGCGAGCGUUAAUCGGAAUUACUGGGCGUAAAGCGUACGCAGGCGGUUUGUUAAGCGAGAUGUGAAAGCCCCGGGCUCAACCUGGGAACUGCAUUUCGAACUGGCAAACUAGAGUGUGAUAGAGGGUGGUAGAAUUUCAGGUGUAGCGGUGAAAUGCGUAGAGAUCUGAAGGAAUACCGAUGGCGAAGGCAGCCACCUGGGUCAACACUGACGCUCAUGUACGAAAGCGUGGGGAGCAAACGGGAUUAGAUACCCCGGUAGUCCACGCCGUAAACGAUGUCUACUAGAAGCUCGGAGCCUCGGUUCUGUUUUUCAAAGCUAACGCAUUAAGUAGACCGCCUGGGGAGUACGGCCGCAAGGUUAAAACUCAAAUGAAUUGACGGGGGCCCGCACAAGCGGUGGAGCAUGUGGUUUAAUUCGAUGCAACGCGAAGAACCUUACCUACACUUGACAUACAGAGAACUUACCAGAGAUGGUUUGGUGCCUUCGGGAAC
RNAcentral lists this ribosomal RNA (769 nucleotides) under uncultured Pseudoalteromonas sp. Its description in RNAcentral is "bacterial SSU rRNA". It matches the Rfam family "Bacterial small subunit ribosomal RNA", at positions 265 to 1027 of the family's 1533-position model. Lineage: Bacteria; Pseudomonadati; Pseudomonadota; Gammaproteobacteria; Alteromonadales; Pseudoalteromonadaceae. The record is from RNAcentral.